Molecule: long non-coding RNA, 200 nt
Filed under: Homo sapiens (human)
Lineage: Eukaryota; Metazoa; Chordata; Mammalia; Primates; Hominidae
Description: HSALNT0238298
Source: RNAcentral
GGUGGCCCAGACAGGGGUCCACAGUGAGGAAGCAGGACAAGAUGGACCACAAAGGCCUGCAGCUGGGAGAGUGGCUCCUGGCUGUCAGCUGUUGGGACAGGCUAGAACCAUGUGCCUCUCGGAAGAGGCCUGGGGAACUGCUGGCAGUGUAACUUCAGGUGUAGGGGAGCCGGGUCUGGCUUAGGAAUGGAUGCCCUGGG